RNAcentral lists this ribosomal RNA (230 nucleotides) under uncultured bacterium. Its description in RNAcentral is "partial 16S ribosomal RNA". It matches the Rfam family "Bacterial small subunit ribosomal RNA", at positions 109 to 339 of the family's 1533-position model. The record is from RNAcentral.
AGGAACACGUGAGAAACCUGCCUCGGAUUUUGGGAUAACAAAUGGAAACGUUUGCUAAUACCAAAUAACGUCGGAGAGUCACAUGACUUUCUGACGAAAGGAAUUCCGAUUCGAGAGGGUCUCGCGGCCUAUCAGCUAGUUGGCGGGGUAAUGGCCCACCAAGGCAACGACGGGUAGCUGGUCUGAGAGGACGACCAGCCACACUGGAACUGAGACACGGUCCAGACACC